This 307-nucleotide long non-coding RNA is filed under the name Elaeis guineensis (African oil palm). Its description in RNAcentral is "long non-coding RNA (EGUI_LNC004410)". The record is from RNAcentral. Lineage: Eukaryota; Viridiplantae; Streptophyta; Magnoliopsida; Arecales; Arecaceae.
CUCUGUAUUUCAAUUCAAAAGAUGUCACACGUAGAAAGGACGAUUCCUUCCUAUAUUAGCCAAAAUCUUUCUUGACUCACAAUUAAUGUGGGACUAAUGAUGUCCUUCCUCCUACACCACAAUACUUUUAAUAGAAUAAAACGAGACAUUAACAAUUAUGUUCAUUUAUUAAUAUCAAAAUUUGACUUGUAAGAAAUCUAUAUAAGAUACUUAAAUAAAAUAUUAAAACAUAUAGCUGAUAUAUUAAUUUCAUAUAGCUUGUGUCUCAGGUGAAGUUAUAAAACCUAAUGUACUAUUCUGUUUAGGG